Molecule: non-coding RNA, 368 nt
Organism: Thamnophis sirtalis
Lineage: Eukaryota; Metazoa; Chordata; Lepidosauria; Squamata; Natricidae
Source: RefSeq, a predicted model, not a curated record
ACGGAGAGCCAAGGCCAAAUGUCAUUUGGACAAAAGAUGGCAUCAGAAUGGCAGCAAGGGAAAUAAGUAUUGAGAAAUUAGGGGACAUCUACUACCUUGUAAAAAGAAACGCCGUUGUUGCCGAUACUGGAAAAUAUAUCUGUCUUGCCACUAAUGAAUUAGGGGAGGCACACUGCUCAGCUUUUAUCAGAGUAAUAGAGAAAAAUAAAAGUGACAUAUCCUCAAUGCAAGACUAAAUCAAAUCAAGAGAAAGGCCAUUUGCUGAAGAAAACAAUGAGGACUGCCACACCCUCACCAGUACGAGGUCAAGAUUGACAUUGCUUGAGAGGUCAAAUCAAACAAAAAAAAAACAUUCCAAAAGGUAACUU